RNAcentral lists this ribosomal RNA (253 nucleotides) under uncultured bacterium. RNAcentral's name for it is "partial 16S ribosomal RNA". It matches the Rfam family "Bacterial small subunit ribosomal RNA", at positions 524 to 776 of the family's 1533-position model. The record is from RNAcentral.
UACGAAGGGGGCUAGCGUUGCUCGGAAUCACUGGGCGUAAAGGGUGCGUAGGCGGGUCUUUAAGUCAGGGGUGAAAUCCUGGAGCUCAACUCCAGAACUGCCUUUGAUACUGUAGAUCUUGAGUUCGGGAGAGGUGAGUGGAACUGCGAGUGUAGAGGUGAAAUUCGUAGAUAUUCGCAAGAACACCAGUGGCGAAGGCGGCUCACUGGCCCGGUACUGACGCUGAGGUGCGAAAGCGUGGGGAGCAAACAGG